Molecule: long non-coding RNA, 5474 nt
Organism: Cryptomeria japonica (Japanese cedar)
Lineage: Eukaryota; Viridiplantae; Streptophyta; Pinopsida; Cupressales; Cupressaceae
Exons: 3
Source: RefSeq, a predicted model, not a curated record
UGAGCUUGCCCUGUUUUUACACCUAAAUUUGUAUGAAAGUUACAGUGGGUAUUCUCUUCACCUUUCACAAAAUAUAUUCAUUUAGCGACUCACCAUCCACGGUCCCCACCUUUUAAAAACACACAACUCAACAACUCUGUUCCUAUCCCCUUAUGUAAUGGCUUCUGUAAAGAGUAUACAUUACUUAGCUCCAAUGACCAUGGGACUAUCCCUGAGCUGUUUGAGCCUGACCCAGAACAUUUAUACUGAGCAAAAGUUACAGUCCUGCAGAAGAAAACAAACCAAGAUUGAUGCAAUCUUUAAUAAUCAAGAAUGAAGAAUACAGAAACUGAAAAUGGGUUUCUUGUUGGAUUUAAAAUGAAUUCCUUUUUGUGUUCAGCUGACACACUUUUGUCUGGUGGAAGGUCCUCAUGCCCUGUCCAGAAACAUUGAGCCGGCCCGUCACCUUACCGUUAAUAAACACAGUGUGUUUGUUCCCCUGAAGAGAACAUUCUCUGCUCUGUAAUGGCUCUGUCGAGUACAGAAAUUGUAUGCAGAUGACAUUUCUGCCACCAAACAAAUUGCAUUAGUCAAUGAUCAAAACAAGUUUUACUAAUGGCAGACUGAUUUUUCCAUGAUAGAUAUAUAUUGUGUUUGGCAUAGUUUUAGUCUACCUCAUAGAUGGACUGCCCAUCUGCAGCACCUUAUUCUGAAACAUUCCAAUCAAUGAUGCAGAAACAAUUUUUAUUCAGUUCAAUGUCAAAUCUGUUGUACCUGUACUAUGAUACAUCUGGCUACAAAAUCAGAAGCUAUUACUGUCAUUGUUGAACAGAAAUGUGUAUCUCUAGUGGCUUUGUCAUUCUUGUUCCAGGUUAUGACAGUAUUGCUAGCGUUACUGUCACUUAGAACCUUGUCCACAGGAAAGGUCACCUUUGCCCUGCAAAAAGAAAUUCCAAGGCCAUGUAUUCCAGUCAAAAAUACCAUAACAUCACCUGAAAUAAAAGCAUUAAUUAGAAGAAAGUGUUUAUCAGGUCAUUAUUGAUAUUAUAUGCUAAUGCAAACUGAAAUUGUUCAUGUUUAAAAGGAGUAAUUAGGGAAAGAAAAAAAAACAGGAGAAGCUGAAAUUAUGAGCAGAUUAAGAAAGUAACUUACCAUGAACAUGUCUUCAUUACCAUGGAAUGAGCAUUCUACAGAAAAUUUUGAUUUUAAACUAAAAACAAAGACUGUUGUAGCAUCAUUGCAAAAGAAAAAAUAUCAGGGAAUUGCUUCAAGCUAAACUUUGAUGGUGCUGUUAGAUACUCCCUGGGACUGGCCGCGGGUGGAGGAAUUUUAAGAUCUCACUCUGGGGAGUUAGUGUCUGCCUAUGCUAUAAAUUUGAAUGGUUGCUCUAGUAAUCAAGCUGAAGACAUGGCAUGCUAAUGCAAACUGAAAUUGUUCAUGUUUAAAAGGCGUAAUUAGGGAAAGAAAAAAACAGGAGAAGCUGAAAUUAUGAGCAGAUUAAGAAAGUAACUUACCAUGAACAUGUCUUCAUUACCAUGGAAUGAUCAUUCUACAGCAAAUUUUGAUUUCAAACUAAAAACAAAUACUGUUGUAGCAUCAUUGCAAAAGAAAAAUAUCAGGGAAUUGCUUCUGUAACAAUUCAUACAAGGGAAUGGCAAUUGCUAAGGUGAUACAGAGAAUAGCUGUGGAUCCAGCCAAGCGUCUUAUUAAAAAAAUGUGUGGUGAAAUGGUUCAACUCUAUCUGCAGGAAGCACAAUUUUAAAGAAGUUGAGGAGGAAGCUGUGGAAGUAAUUGGUGAAAAUGAAGCAGACAAUGUGAAAAUGCAUUAUGCUUAUUGAUUGACUAAAAAACUAAGCUAUUAGAAUGUUGUUUAUUCGUGUAGUUUUUAUCUUAUUAUGAAGAGAUGUUAGCUUUGACUAAGGACUAUUGUUUAGGGUUUUGUGUAUUGAUUAAUUUCCUUGCGAGAAUCAUCAACAAGGAUGCAUUUUGUUUCACAGCUAGCCUUGCUCUCAUUUGAGAUAUAUGAAGUGUCCAUUCUAUGGUAUGUGUCCGAAUCUCCAAAUGUAAAUGUAUCUUCUAUAAAUGUUUUGAAUCCAUUUUCCAUGCCAUUGAAAGUGUUGGCACAAAUCUAGUAACACUAUACCCACCAACCAGGACUUCGAACUUUGUAUGAGAAAGCUAAAAAUGAAUUAUACAUGUAUCAAUGGUAUACCAUCAUAUAAAGGUAGAUGGAAAUUCUACUACUUGCACCCAAGCCUAAAUAAAUAAUUUAAAAACAUAAUGAAUUAUUUCUGUCUAAGAAGAUAUUUAGUGUCCUUUAUUACCAGUAGAUGAUACCAAAGAACAAUCUAAUUGAAUAUUUUACCUACAAAUAUUUGAUUCCCUAUAUAUCUAUGGAAAGGAUAUAUCAACUCGCUGUUUAAUAUUAGCAGCAACCGAGUUUAUCUCUGACAUCCUUGUCACUCGAUUAUACUCAUCCUUCCAUUGGGAACACUUGUAAUACCCUUUUCAAACAAAGUAGUAGAUUCACCCACUCUUUCAUGCCGCAUAGAAACCAGUGUUCGUUCCUUUUAACAUAUAUGCCUCAAACCUAUCACGGUAGCCCGAAUGGCAAUGAACCAAGGAAUUUUCUAUUAUGGGUAUAUCUAGCAGUCUCGAGUCACCAUAUUUUGUUUUCAUUCCUUUGGUAACUUUGUAUGAGCUUCCAUAAUGACAAUCAUCUUCUCGAAGGACACAAAGACUUUUCGCAGUUACACCCUUUACCAUAGCAGCAUAGAAGUUGAUUCACUGAAUUGGAAGAAUGAGAAACUGAAGUGAUGAGUUUUUUUAAUUUUUUUUUGUCUUAGAUUUGUUCUUAGUUUGAAAUCUAAAUUUUCUGUAGAAAGAUCGAUUCAUAGUAAUGGUAAGUUUCUUCUUUUUGUUCAUGGUAAGUUUCCUUUUCUACUGCUGGCAUAGAUGGUAUCCUUUGUUCACAGUUUCAAUUGAGUACUGCUGUGUACGAUUUGACAGAUAUUGCAGCACUUGAACUACCACUCAUAAUAAAGUGAAUAAACCCAUUGGCGCCAACUACCAAUAAGUAGAAUUGCAGGUCGCCAAGUAAAAUAUCUACAUGAAUAUCUGUAAGAUUUCAGAUUUUUUUCUUUGCAGAUCUCCAAUUGGAUUUUUUUAGUUGGCAGGAAUGGGUUUAUUUACUUUAUUACGAGUGGUAGUUCAAGUGCUGCAUUAUCAGUUAAAGUGGAGUACAAAGGCAUUGAACUGAAGUAGUGCACGAUGGAUGCCAUCUAUGCCAACAGUAGAAAAGGAAACUUACCAUGAAAAAAAGAAGAAGUUUACACUUAUUAUGAAACGAUCAUUUUACAUAAAAUUUAUAUUUCAAACUAAGAGCAAAUCUUUGCUUUAGGAUCGCAUCGCAAAAGGAAAAAGAUCAGCAAAUAAAUUAUAAGAAUUUCAGGCAGGGGAAUGGCGAUUGCUAAGGAGAUAACGAGAAGAGUUGUGGAUCAAACCAGCCGUCUUAUUAGAGAAUGUACAAUGAAAUGCAUUAAAUACGUUUCCAGGGAGCACAUUUUUAGCGAAUUUGAAAAUGCAAAGAACGUGCAAAUUAAACAGUAAGAACAGAGGAGAAAUAUACAUGAUGCUCAGAUAAAGAAUCCAUCUGACCCCGUUGGAAUUUGCUCAAUUGAAGAGCCCAUAUGAUAAGGUUAGUAUACGGCAUCAAAGGUCUCGAGACAGAGUUCAACCCCUCAAAAGUAUUUCCCAUGUCGGAAAUUCUUCUAACCAGGCUCAUUAUCCUAUGGUGUAGCAUAUCUAGUUCAGUUUUAAAAUCUAUAAAAGUUGAAUCUGUUCUGCUCUAUAAAAGUUUUUACUUUUUUUGUGAUUGCAGCACAUUGGCGAUGAGACUCCAAUAAGGACCCCAGAAUCGCAGUGGACGCCAAUACAGUCUCCAAUUACUGGUUUUCGAGAUAAACUGUUGGGUAUUAACGUGAUAUUAUUUGUUCCACAGAUUUUAAAAAAGAGGAGCAGCUCUUACAUUCCAAUGAGGAGCACCCGACAACGGACCAGCUCUUAUAUCCCAUUAGUUAACAAGAAACCAAUGGAAGUGGAGAAGCAGAAUGUUAAGUCAGCAUUUGAAUUCCAAGUGCCGCGACAAUCGAGAGAGGCAGCUUGUAAAAUUUUAGGGCAUUUGGAGCAGGUCCGGUCAUUUUCUAAGGAAAAUUAGGUCGGUCAAACUUGAAUGAUGAUCUUCAAAUUUCAUCAGGAUCUUCAGAAUAUUUGGCUAAGACAUUUAAAGGUCCAUCUUCCUCAGAAUUCUCAGGCAUGUAACUUCAAUAUUCGUCUGAUUGUAACUCUAAUUUUAUGGGGUUUUUCCCCAGCAUAUACAUUUUUCAACACAGGUUAAAAACCCGCUAUGUUACAGCUAAAGGAGCCUAUUUAACAAGCAAGAACUUUUUUGUUGUCAUUUUUUCCUGUGCAUUUGAACAAUUAUACUUCAUUUAUUUUCCGAUAAUUGUUUCUUGUUUAUUUGGUAGAAAACUUGACCACUGUCUCAAGUUCAAAUGGCCUUGCAACACCUGCAUUGGGCAUCAGUUCUUGCAACAUCUGACUUAGGCCUGGUGGAGCAUCAUCUAGUAUCACUAAUGCUGCUGAAAGCAUAGGAGUUUCUACAAAGGUAGACACAACAUUGCAUGUUUUAGAUAGUCCUCUAAUUCUAGAAAAAGUGAAAGGUUUUGGAAUGAGUUUAUCAGAGGUAUGUUUGAUUGAUAACUGGCUAUGUUAAUGUUACAACUAAUGCUUUAUGUAUGGUUUGUAUUUUUCGUUUUUGUAAUGUUUGAUGGCAUUGUUUGCUUUCUAGGUGAAUAAAAAAUUUCGGUAGUAUAACCUAAUUUGAACAUUUGCUAACGUUUUUUGGACUUGAAUGUAAUUUCUACAAAGGUGGACACAACAUUGCAUUUUUCUAGAUAGUCCUCUGGUUCGAGAAAACAUUAGAGGCUUCGAAUGAGUUUAUGAGAGCUACGUUCAGUUGAUAAUUAGCUAUGUUAAUUUUACAAUUAAUGCGUUAUGUAUGGUUUGUGUUUUUUGUUUCUCAAAUAUUUCAUGGCAUUGUGUUCUUUCCAGGCGAAUUAAAGUUGUUUUCGAUAACUUAAUUUGAACAUUUGCUAACCAGUUGUGGACUUAAAUGUAAUAGAGUCUGAUGACGAGGAACAUGUUAGCAACAAUGCUACUAGAGAUUCAGCUGUUCAUUGUCUUGAUCAAUGAAGGAAAAUCAGUUGUUGAGGAAUGUCAAUGGGGAGGGAAUUUCAAUCGCACUCUCCAAACAUUGCCCUCUGGAACCCCACAAACAUCUCACUUCUCAGGCAACAUGGAAGAUUUCCAGUCCACAACCUUAGUCUUCUCUCCGACUUGUCUAAUAGGCGGUUCAUAUGAGGUGGGCCAAUUACUUCAUAUCCCUAACUGUUGGAACAUGCUUGGCUAAAGGGAGGGAUGGUUGUUAUUGGGAA